Molecule: ribosomal RNA, 2598 nt
Filed under: Salmonella enterica subsp. enterica serovar Paratyphi A
Lineage: Bacteria; Pseudomonadati; Pseudomonadota; Gammaproteobacteria; Enterobacterales; Enterobacteriaceae
Description: 23S ribosomal RNA
Source: RNAcentral
GCCGUCGAUAUGAACUCUUGGGCGGUAUCAGCCUGUUAUCCCCGGAGUACCUUUUAUCCGUUGAGCGAUGGCCCUUCCAUUCAGAACCACCGGAUCACUAUGACCUGCUUUCGCACCUGCUCGCGCCGUCACGCUCGCAGUCAAGCUGGCUUAUGCCAUUGCACUAACCUCCUGAUGUCCGACCAGGAUUAGCCAACCUUCGUGCUCCUCCGUUACUCUUUAGGAGGAGACCGCCCCAGUCAAACUACCCACCAGACACUGUCCGCAACCCGGGUAACGGGUCCACGUUAGAACAUCAAACAUUAAAGGGUGGUAUUUCAAGGUCGGCUCCAUGCAGACUGGCGUCCACACUUCAAAGCCUCCCACCUAUCCUACACAUCAAGGCUCAAUGUUCAGUGUCAAGCUAUAGUAAAGGUUCACGGGGUCUUUCCGUCUUGCCGCGGGUACACUGCAUCUUCACAGCGAGUUCAAUUUCACUGAGUCUCGGGUGGAGACAGCCUGGCCAUCAUUACGCCAUUCGUGCAGGUCGGAACUUACCCGACAAGGAAUUUCGCUACCUUAGGACCGUUAUAGUUACGGCCGCCGUUUACCGGGGCUUCGAUCAGGAGCUUCGCUUGCGCUGACCCCAUCAAUUAACCUUCCGGCACCGGGCAGGCGUCACACCGUAUACGUCCACUUUCGUGUUUGCACAGUGCUGUGUUUUUAAUAAACAGUUGCAGCCAGCUGGUAUCUUCGACUGACUUCAGCUCCAUGAGUAAAUCACUUCACCUACGUGUCAGCGUGCCUUCUCCCGAAGUUACGGCACCAUUUUGCCUAGUUCCUUCACCCGAGUUCUCUCAAGCGCCUUGGUAUUCUCUACCUGACCACCUGUGUCGGUUUGGGGUACGAUUUGAUGUUACCUGAUGCUUAGAGGCUUUUCCUGGAAGCAGGGCAUUUGUUGCUUCAGCACCGUAGUGCCUCGUCGUCACGCCUCAGUGUUAAAGUGAACCGGAUUUACCUGGAACACACACCUACACGCUUAAACCGGGACAACCGUCGCCCGGCCAACAUAGCCUUCUCCGUCCCCCCUUCGCAGUAACACCAAGUACGGGAAUAUUAACCCGUUUCCCAUCGACUACGCCUUUCGGCCUCGCCUUAGGGGUCGACUCACCCUGCCCCGAUUAACGUUGGACAGGAACCCUUGGUCUUCCGGCGAGCGGGCUUUUCACCCGCUUUAUCGUUACUUAUGUCAGCAUUCGCACUUCUGAUACCUCCAGCAACCCUCACAGGCCACCUUCACAGGCUUACAGAACGCUCCCCUACCCAACAACACCUGAGUGUCGCUGCCGCAGCUUCGGUGCAUGGUUUAGCCCCGUUACAUCUUCCGCGCAGGCCGACUCGACCAGUGAGCUAUUACGCUUUCUUUAAAUGAUGGCUGCUUCUAAGCCAACAUCCUGGCUGUCUGGGCCUUCCCACAUCGUUUCCCACUUAACCAUGACUUUGGGACCUUAGCUGGCGGUCUGGGUUGUUUCCCUCUUCACGACGGACGUUAGCACCCGCCGUGUGUCUCCCGUGAUAACAUUCUCCGGUAUUCGCAGUUUGCAUCGGGUUGGUAAGCCGGGAUGGCCCCCUAGCCGAAACAGUGCUCUACCCCCGGAGAUGAAUUCACGAGGCGCUACCUAAAUAGCUUUCGGGGAGAACCAGCUAUCUCCCGGUUUGAUUGGCCUUUCACCCCCAGCCACAGGUCAUCCGCUAAUUUUUCAACAUUAGUCGGUUCGGUCCUCCAGUUAGUGUUACCCAACCUUCAACCUGCCCAUGGCUAGAUCACCGGGUUUCGGGUCUAUACCCUGCAACUUAACGCCCGGUUAAGACUCGGUUUCCCUCCGGCUCCCCUAUACGGUUAACCUUGCUACAGAAUAUAAGUCGCUGACCCAUUAUACAAAAGGUACGCAGUCACACAGGUAAACCUGUGCUCCCACUGCUUGUACGUACACGGUUUCAGGUUCUUUUUCACUCCCCUCGCCGGGGUUCUUUUCGCCUUUCCCUCACGGUACUGGUUCACUAUCGGUCAGUCAGGAGUAUUUAGCCUUGGAGGAUGGUCCCCCCAUAUUCAGACAGGAUACCACGUGUCCCGCCCUACUCAUCGAGCUCACAGCACAUGCGCUUUUGUGUACGGGGCUGUCACCCUGUAUCGCGCGCCUUUCCAGACGCUUCCACUAACACACAUGCUGAUUCAGGCUCUGGNNNNNNNNNNNNNNNNNNNNUCUCGGUUGAUUUCUUUUCCUCGGGGUACUUAGAUGUUUCAGUUCCCCCGGUUCGCCUCAUUAACCUAUGGAUUCAGUUAAUGAUAGUGUGACGAAUCACACUGGGUUUCCCCAUUCGGAAAUCGCCGGUUAUAACGGUUCAUAUCACCUUACCGGCGCUUAUCGCAGAUUAGCACGUCCUUCAUCGCCUCUGACUGCCAGGGCAUCCACCGUGUACGCUUAGUCGCUUAACCUCACAACCCGAAGAUGUUUCUUACGAUUCAUCAUCGUGUUGCGAAAAUUUGAGAGACUCACGAACAACUUUCGUUGUUCUGUGUUUCAAUUUUCAGCUUGAUCCAGAUUUUUAAAGAGCAAA